RNAcentral lists this ribosomal RNA (396 nucleotides) under uncultured Azoarcus sp. RNAcentral's name for it is "bacterial SSU rRNA". It matches the Rfam family "Bacterial small subunit ribosomal RNA", at positions 985 to 1382 of the family's 1533-position model. Lineage: Bacteria; Pseudomonadati; Pseudomonadota; Betaproteobacteria; Rhodocyclales; Zoogloeaceae. The record is from RNAcentral.
CAUGUCUGGAACUUGUGAGAGAUCACUUGGUGCCUUCGGGAGCCAGAACACAGGUGCUGCAUGGCUGUCGUCAGCUCGUGUCGUGAGAUGUUGGGUUAAGUCCCGCAACGAGCGCAACCCUUGCCAUUAAUUGCCAUCAUUUAGUUGGGCACUUUAAUGGGACUGCCGGUGACAAACCGGAGGAAGGUGGGGAUGACGUCAAGUCCUCAUGGCCCUUAUGGGUAGGGCUUCACACGUCAUACAAUGGUCGGUACAGAGGGUUGCCAAGCCGCGAGGUGGAGCUAAUCUCUUAAAGCCGAUCGUAGUCCGGAUCGUAGUCUGCAACUCGACUACGUGAAGUCGGAAUCGCUAGUAAUCGCGGAUCAGCAUGUCGCGGUGAAUACGUUCCCGGGUCUU